This is a long non-coding RNA of Callithrix jacchus (white-tufted-ear marmoset), 733 nucleotides long. RefSeq lists it as uncharacterized. Lineage: Eukaryota; Metazoa; Chordata; Mammalia; Primates; Cebidae. The record is from RefSeq and is a predicted model, not a curated record.
UUUCUUGCUCUUUCGACAUACCCAGGGCGGCCAGCAGGUGGCUUCCUAGUGAGCAGGUGGCUUUCCUGCCAGUGAGGCCAGGGAUACUGCAACCCAAGGAAGAAGCUCCAGCAGCACCCACCGUGGGCCGUUUCCUGCCAUCCCAUCCUGGCCUGUGGCAUCUCAGCAAAUUUCUCCUCCAGUGGUUCAUGGAUCCAUCAUCUCCAACAAGCAGGUGAAUAAGAUGGGAUCUGAAAUCAUCGUGGCGGAGUCCAGUGAAAGAAGCAGAAGGGAGCUGAAGUUUUCUGAGGGUAGAUGGAAUAAGGAAGAAUGAUGAAAAAAAAGAAGGAAGAAAAAUUCACUAAAGUGGUUCAACAACUGGAGGUGUCUGGCCAGGCUGAAGAACAAAUCAGUGAACUUGAAGAUAAGGCCAACUGAGAAGCAGAAAAAUGAACAGAGCCUAAAAGACCUGUUUCAAACCAACAUAUACAUAAUGGGAAUGUCUGAAAGACAGGAGAAAGAGAAAGAAUCAGAUAUUUAAAGAAAUAAUAGCUAAAACUUUCCAAAUUUGAUGACAGACAUGAAUCUAUACAUCCAAGAAGCUCAAGGAUAAAGUAGGAUAAACUUAAGGAGACUCACACUAAGAUACAGUAUAAUCAAACUAUUUAAAGUAAAGAAAAUAUUGAAAGCAUUAAGAGAAAACCAACUCAUUAUGUACAAGAGAUCCUCAGUAAGAUUAAAACUUAAUUCCUUA